Molecule: ribosomal RNA, 484 nt
Filed under: Listeria fleischmannii subsp. fleischmannii LU2006-1
Lineage: Bacteria; Bacillati; Bacillota; Bacilli; Caryophanales; Listeriaceae
Description: bacterial SSU rRNA
Rfam family: Bacterial small subunit ribosomal RNA
Source: RNAcentral
UUAAAGAGAGUUUGAUCCUGGCUCAGGACGAACGCUGGCGGCGUGCCUAAUACAUGCAAGUCGAACGAACCAAAGAGAAGCUUGCUUCUCUGUCGGUGAGUGGCGGACGGGUGAGUAACACGUGGGCAACCUGCCUAUCAGCGGGGGAUAACACUUGGAAACAGGUGCUAAUACCGCAUAAUAGAGAAGUUCGCAUGAACUUCUUUUGAAAGACGGUUUCGGCUGUCACUGAUAGAUGGGCCCGCGGUGCAUUAGCUAGUUGGUGGGGUAAAGGCCUACCAAGGCGACGAUGCAUAGCCGACCUGAGAGGGUGAUCGGCCACACUGGGACUGAGACACGGCCCAGACUCCUACGGGAGGCAGCAGUAGGGAAUCUUCCGCAAUGGACGAAAGUCUGACGGAGCAACGCCGCGUGUGUGAAGAAGGUUUUCGGAUCGUAAAGCACUGUUGUUAGAGAAGAACAAGGAUAAGAGUCACUGCUUGUC